AACGCACAUUGCGCCCUCUGGUAUUCCGGAGGGCAUGCCUGUCUGAGCGUCAAUAUAACAUCGAACACCAGUUUGGUCUUGGAAGAAGAGAUGGCAACGUCUCCCUUCUGUAAAUCAUUGAGCAGCGGUCCAAGCUAUGCGACGUAGUAAGCACAAAUCUCGUCGAACUGUAGCCUUGUGACUGUUUGCCAUAACCCAAAUAUAUCAUUGUUUGACCUCAGAUCAGGUAGGGAUACCCCCUGAACUUAA
This 249-nucleotide unclassified non-coding RNA is filed under the name uncultured fungus. RNAcentral's name for it is "partial contains 5.8S ribosomal RNA, internal transcribed spacer 2, and large subunit ribosomal RNA". The stretch from base 1 to 52 matches the Rfam family "5.8S ribosomal RNA", at positions 103 to 154 of the family's 154-position model. Lineage: Eukaryota; Fungi. The record is from RNAcentral.